UAUGGUUAGAAGAAGUCAAUCUGAAUCCUAUUAUUCUCGUGACUGUGAAUCAUAUAUCAUGAAUCUUUACAUUUCUAGAUUUGAAAAACAUGCAAAAGAAUGGUGGGAUGAAAGAGAAUAUCAUGUUAGAAUAGGUAGAAAAUUUCCCAUCAAUGAUUGGAAUGAAUUGAAAGGUUGUUUGAGAAAAAAUUUGUGCCUCUAGAGAUUCAAAGAAAUUUACAACUUAUGAGAGAGUUUAUUAAAGGAGGCAAGUCAUUCAUUCAAAAUUUAAGUGGAUUCUAUNAAAGGGAAANAGAGUUUAGAGACAAACUCAUGAAGUUUUUGAGUGAGGGUGAGGGAAGUAGAAGAAGAUUUGAGAGAGAACAUAGACAAUUACAAGAAAGAAUAGAGAGACAAGAGAGAAAAAAAGAGAGAAAACGAGAAGAAGAAAGACAAAGAGAAAGAGAGAACAAGAGAGAAAAGAAGAGGAAGAAAGAGUGAGAAGAGAACUAGUGGAAAGAGAAGAAAAAGAAGAAAGAGAGAAAAAAGAAAAGGAAGAAAGCGAGAGAAGAGUACACGAGAGAAGAGAAGAAGAGAAAAUAAGAGAGAAAGAAAGAAAGGAAGAGGAAGAGAAGGAAGAACUUGAAAAGAAAGACAUGGAAGAAAAGAAGAAAGAAAUGGCAACAUUCCCUAUUCUCACAAUAGAACACAAAUUUUUAAGGGGAGGUUUUCUAUCUUUUCACUUUCCAAUUGUUAUUGAAUGCUUUAAUUCUACCUUUUCUUUCCAAGAAUUUGCCAUUAAACCUUUUCAAAAGUUGCAAUCUUUAACACAUGGCAAUCAAAGACUUGAGUUAGAGAUAUCUUCCAAGUUAUCACUAACUCAAGAUAAAAAUAAAUUUUCAAAUGAAG
This 888-nucleotide long non-coding RNA is filed under the name Vigna radiata. RNAcentral describes it as "long non-coding RNA (VRAD_LNC014793)". The record is from RNAcentral. Lineage: Eukaryota; Viridiplantae; Streptophyta; Magnoliopsida; Fabales; Fabaceae.